This 273-nucleotide long non-coding RNA is filed under the name Solanum lycopersicum (tomato). RNAcentral describes it as "long non-coding RNA (SLYC_LNC001091)". The record is from RNAcentral. Lineage: Eukaryota; Viridiplantae; Streptophyta; Magnoliopsida; Solanales; Solanaceae.
CUCAGACCAUGAAGGAUGCUAUGGCUGCCCUUAACCAAGAAGUAAUGCAGCUUGGUCAGUCACUCUACAACCAGCCUGGUGCUGCACCAGGUGCUGGUCCAGCACCUGGCGGUGCUGAUGGACCUUCAGAAUCAUCAUCUGGGAAGGGACCUGAUGGAAAUGACGUAAUUGAUGCUGAUUUCACCGACAGCAAGUGAGCAUAGAAGAGCAAUUUUGAGGCUAUAUUUAAUUUUCAGCUUUUAUACUCUUGCUUAGGUUGUGUAUAAGGGAUUU